CCCGCUGAACUUAAGCAUAUCAAUAAGCGGGAGGAA
This 36-nucleotide ribosomal RNA is filed under the name Trichoderma velutinum. RNAcentral's name for it is "partial 28S ribosomal RNA". Lineage: Eukaryota; Fungi; Ascomycota; Sordariomycetes; Hypocreales; Hypocreaceae. The record is from RNAcentral.